GCAGAAUGUUCUUUCCCUUUUCAGCUCUUUGGCGUUGCUAAGAGACUGCCAUUUUGGAGGAAAGAGCGAUCGCCUCACCGGCCCAUCCUCCAAGCCGGACUGCCGGCAAAUGCCUCCACAGUGGUCGGAGGAGACGUAGAGUUUGUCUGCAAGGUUUACAGUGAUGCCCAGCCCCACAUCCAGUGGAUCAAGCACGUGGAAAAGAACGGCAGUAAAUACGGGCCCGACGGGCUGCCCUACCUCAAGGUUCUCAAGCACUCGGGGAUAAAUAGUUCCAAUGCAGAAGUGCUGGCUCUGUUCAAUGUGACCGAGGCGGAUGCUGGGGAAUAUAUAUGUAAGGUCUCCAAUUAUAUAGGGCAGGCCAACCAGUCUGCCUGGCUCACUGUCCUGCCAAAACAGCAAGCGCCUGGAAGAGAAAAGGAGAUUACAGCUUCCCCAGACUACCUGGAGAUAGCCAUUUACUGCAUAGGGGUCUUCUUAAUCGCCUGUAUGGUGG
RNAcentral lists this long non-coding RNA (496 nucleotides) under Homo sapiens (human). Its description in RNAcentral is "HSALNT0169195". The record is from RNAcentral. Lineage: Eukaryota; Metazoa; Chordata; Mammalia; Primates; Hominidae.